CUAGAUGGGUAUCCCUACAUAGCGGGUGGGACCCACGGCGAAUGGUUCAACAAGUCUUCAAAAAAGAAUAUAUACGAUUGCAUUGCAUAUACUAACGGAUGCGAUCAUACCAGCACUAAUGCACCGGAUCCCAUCAGAACUCCGCAAUUAAGCGUGCUUGGGCGAGAGUAGUACUAGGAUGGGUGACCUCCCGGGAAGUCCUCGUGUUGCAUCCCUCUUUUAUGUUUAACCUUUUUUU
Molecule: ribosomal RNA, 238 nt
Filed under: Arabidopsis thaliana (thale cress)
Lineage: Eukaryota; Viridiplantae; Streptophyta; Magnoliopsida; Brassicales; Brassicaceae
Source: RNAcentral